RNAcentral lists this ribosomal RNA (253 nucleotides) under uncultured bacterium. Its description in RNAcentral is "partial 16S ribosomal RNA". It matches the Rfam family "Bacterial small subunit ribosomal RNA", at positions 524 to 776 of the family's 1533-position model. The record is from RNAcentral.
GACGAACCGUGCAAACGUUAUUCGGAAUCACUGGGCUUAAAGGGCGCGUAGGCGGUCGACCAAGUCUGUGGUGAAAUCCUCCAGCUCAACUGGAGAACUGCCGCGGAUACUGGUUGUCUCGAGGGAGGUAGGGGCGCGCGGAACACUAGGUGGAGCGGUGAAAUGCGUUGAUAUCUAGUGGAACUCCGGUGGCGAAAGCGGCACCCUAGCAUUUUUCUGACGCUCAUGUGCGAAAGCGUGGGGAGCGAACGGG